GAAAAAAAAAAAAAAAAGGAAAAUUAGAAUCAGGAGCCAACCCAUGAGCUAUAGUAAAAUGAGAGGACAAAGAAAUAUGUUGUAGCUUCUGGGCAUCUAAACCGAAAGGUAAUUCAUCCUAUACCUUUUAAUUUUCUUGGGUAGGUUUCAUUUGAUUUCUUAGACUUUAUGUCCAAGCAAGGAGAAUUGUCACUGUGACUCGUAGAUUUUGUUAAUUUCUCAAGCUUUUAUACUUUUAUGCUUAGUUUCUUGAGUAAUUUUUCUACUUGCAUACUGGUUUUUCGCUGGGUUUUUGAAAUUUGAUGACUAGCUUUAAUAUAGCACAAAGUAAUUUGCUAGUUUCUGUCAUUUUCUUUAAGUAGAUGAUAUUAAAUCAUUGGGGUAGUAUUUAUUUGUUUUAUAGGGGAAAAGUAGUUUAUCAAAGCUCCCACAAGAAAGCAAGUAAGCCCAACUGAGCAUGGCUAUUUUCUCGUUGCAUUUGAAUGUGAAAAUUGAAGAAUUAAUCAACACUUUUACUAUUGGUUGGUGGUAUAUCUAUGAUUAUGGAUGGAAAAGAGAAAGGAGAAGCAAAACAUCCCCCCUUUAAUAUGUAAACUCUAGCAUCUUUCUUAGUUUACUUUUGGUCUCCGUUUGGAUGCAAACACAUCUAUAUGUAGAUUAUAUAGAAAUAUACUUUCAGGUUUCCUUUUUUAAUAAAUCAUUUGCAAGAAAGAAUUCAAAUGAAUUCUCACACAAUCAUGCUUGAUUUCUAUUUCUU
This 757-nucleotide unclassified non-coding RNA is filed under the name Hevea brasiliensis (rubber tree). The record is from RNAcentral. Lineage: Eukaryota; Viridiplantae; Streptophyta; Magnoliopsida; Malpighiales; Euphorbiaceae.